GAUGAACGCUAGCGGCAGGCUUAAUACAUGCAAGUCGAGGGGCAUCAAGGUACACGAAAGUGUAUUGUUGGCGACCGGCGGACGGGUGAGUAAUAGGUAGGUAACCUACCUCAUACUGAGGCAUAGCUGGGAGAAAUUCCAGGUAAUUCCUCAUGAGGUUAUAUGACACAUGUGAUAUAAUCAAAGGUAUCGCAAGGUACUGGUAUGAGAUGGGCUUACUGACCAUUAGCUAGUUGGUGAGAUAAGAGCUCACCAAGGCGAAGAUGGUUAGGGGUUUUGAGAGAGAGAUCCCCCACAUUGGAACUGAGAUACGGUCCAGACUCCUAACGGGAGGCAGCAGUAGGGAAUAUUGGGCAAUGGGCGGAAGCCUGACCCAGCCAUGCCGCGUGAAGGAAGACGGCCUUAUGGGUUGUAAACUUCUUUAACUAUGCGACUAACUAGAUUUACGAAUAAUUCUAUAGAAUGUAGCAUAGACAAAAAGCACCGGUA
RNAcentral lists this ribosomal RNA (489 nucleotides) under uncultured bacterium. RNAcentral's name for it is "bacterial SSU rRNA". It matches the Rfam family "Bacterial small subunit ribosomal RNA", at positions 28 to 498 of the family's 1533-position model. The record is from RNAcentral.